RNAcentral lists this long non-coding RNA (1031 nucleotides) under Pogona vitticeps (central bearded dragon). RNAcentral's name for it is "lncRNA (ENSPVIG00000016914.1)". The record is from RNAcentral. Lineage: Eukaryota; Metazoa; Chordata; Lepidosauria; Squamata; Agamidae.
AGAAAGGGGUUCCUAUCAAGAGCUGUGGGCAUUUCCUCCACCAGAUCCGCUCCUUCUUGGCUCGCUCGACCGGACCCUGCAGAGAAAGAGGAGGAGAUUCUUCUUCUAAAGGAGAGUGAACAACAGCCUCGCCCCCACGUCCCCCCCCCCCGGGAACCAGGCGGCAAAUUCUCCUCAGCCCAGCUGAGCAGUGUGUGCUUCCUACUCAAAAAACAGCUGGAUGUAUUCGGGAAGGCUGGAUGGUUCUCCAAAUCAGCUCAGAAUGAUUCUCCUUUUUUGCUCCUCUAAAGACUCUUAACAUUUUUAUUUUCCUUGCACCAGCCCUGCAAACGGAUUCCCUUACCAACUCAUGGAUAUUUUGGGUGUGAGGUGCGCGGGGGGGUUCAAAGGCUGCCCCACGUAUAGCGCAUUGCAGGAGUCCAGUCUAGUUGUUACUAGUGCAUGAGUGACUGCUGCCAGGCUCCGCUCAUCCAGGUAAGGGCGAAGUUGAUAUAUUCUCUGCAGCGGGCGGGGGGCGGGGGGGGGGGGGGGAGAAAAAAGCACCGCUUGUAAAUGAAAACGUUGGUCACCUCCCUCUCAUGUGGAAUCUAAAAAUCUUGUUUUGUUUUUGUUUUUGUUUUGCUGUGCUUUCAGGCAUCACCUGAAGCCCACUUAAAAACAACAGCAAGACACCGUCAUCUGCUUUAGCGCCAAGCCUUUGACCAUCUUGGCCCCGCGAGGAGUCGUCCCAGAACUCAAGGGCUUACUCUGCUGCUGUUCGCAGCUUUUUCCUCCUCGUCUUGCCCAACGCAGAACCGAAUUGUUUUGGCGAGGAGAGCAGCCGAUUCCGCCUGGAUCCCUUCUCUCAUCCCUGGCAGUCAAAUCAGAACAAAAGUCAAUAAAUCACCCUUUGCUGGCAUUUUACAACUGUUUUCCCCCCCCCUCCCCAAAAUCUUCUGCCUGAGAUGCCGGCCUCCCCUUUUCCUCGCCGGCAAAUUUGGAAAGCGUUCCCUGCAUCUCUCAUCAAAAUCGUUAACAAAAAUUGGUGGGUU